Molecule: non-coding RNA, 121 nt
Organism: Triticum aestivum (bread wheat)
Lineage: Eukaryota; Viridiplantae; Streptophyta; Magnoliopsida; Poales; Poaceae
Source: Rfam
GUCCGAAAAUACUUGUCAUCAAAAUGGAUAAAAAGAGAUGUAUCUAAAACUAAAAUACGUCUAGAUACAUUUCCUUUUAUCCAUUUUGAUGACAAGUAUUUCCGGACGGAGGGAGUAUUUG